Molecule: transfer RNA, 77 nt
Filed under: Candidatus Pacearchaeota archaeon
Lineage: Archaea; Nanobdellati
Description: tRNA-Thr
Rfam family: tRNA
About the family: Transfer RNA (tRNA) molecules are approximately 80 nucleotides in length. Their secondary structure includes four short double-helical elements and three loops (D, anti-codon, and T loops). Further hydrogen bonds mediate the characteristic L-shaped molecular structure. tRNAs have two regions of fundamental functional importance: the anti-codon, which is responsible for specific mRNA codon recognition, and the 3' end, to which the tRNAs corresponding amino acid is attached (by aminoacyl-tRNA synthetases). tRNAs cope with the degeneracy of the genetic code in two manners: having more than one tRNA (with a specific anti-codon) for a particular amino acid; and 'wobble' base-pairing, i.e. permitting non-standard base-pairing at the 3rd anti-codon position.
Source: RNAcentral
GCCUCCGUAGCUCAGUUGAUCAGAGCGCCACUCUUGUAAAGUGGAUGUCGUCAGUUUAAAUCUGACCGGAGGCUCCA